Dinoponera quadriceps is the source of this 522-nucleotide long non-coding RNA. RefSeq lists it as uncharacterized. The record is from RefSeq and is a predicted model, not a curated record. Lineage: Eukaryota; Metazoa; Arthropoda; Insecta; Hymenoptera; Formicidae. The transcript is spliced from 3 exons.
UCCUCGACGAUCUAGGAAUAACGAAACUUCCAAUAAGUCGACUUGAUAUUCCGACAAUGUUUCAGACUGAAACACCUUUGGUCGAGAUCGAGCUCACACUUGACUCGAGUCGUGCAUUCGCGAACGCCUCCAACUUUCGCCGAGGUCCCGGAAGCUAAGGGCGAGAAUGAGAAUUUGUUUCGCUGUGUGCUCCAGCUACAUGUGCAAAAAUCGGCGAUUUAUGGCAACGACGGUUUAUCCAGUUGCAAUGCACAACGUCGAGUAUCAACGUAAUAUACCCCGGCAAUAAAAAUUCAACGCUAUCUAAUCAGCUCAGCGGUGUAAGGUACACAAUUACUCGGGAGAUGAGAGCUCACGGCGCGCGAAUACCGUGGCUUAUUUCGAGUUUACUCAGAGACGCGUUUCCGAUGGAAAUACUCGGAAAAUCGAGGUCGUCGCGAUCGCCACGCAGAAGAAAGGACGACGACGGAUUUUCUUCGGAAAAUAGACUGAAUCGCCUGAAUAAAAUCCUCGAUCAUCCAG